UUGAGUAGGUGUGCCUUGAUCU
Molecule: non-coding RNA, 22 nt
Filed under: Arabidopsis thaliana (thale cress)
Lineage: Eukaryota; Viridiplantae; Streptophyta; Magnoliopsida; Brassicales; Brassicaceae
Source: RNAcentral